GCUGGCGGCGUNCCUAACACAUGCAAGUCGGACGCGAAAGCUCCUUCGGGAGUGAGUAGAGUGGCGCACGGGUGAGUAACGCGUAGGUAAUCUACCUCUGGAUUGGGGAUAACUCUGCGAAAGCGGAGCUAAUACCGAAUGGUCUGGCUUUAUUUUGAUGAAGUCGGUAAAGGAUGCCUCUGCAUAUGCAUCUGUCCGGAGAUGAGCCUGCGUCCCAUUAGCUAGUUGGUAGGGUAAAGGCCUACCAAGGCGACGAUGGGUAGCUGGUCUGAGAGGAUGAUCAGCCACACUGGAACUGGAACACGGUCCAGACUCCUACGGGAGGCAGCAGUGGGGAAUAUUGGGCAAUGGGCGCAAGCCUGACCCAGCAACGCCGUGUGAGGGAUGAAGGCCUUCGGGUCGUAAACCUCUGUCAGAAGGGAAGAACGGGCACAGUUCGAAUAGGGCUGUGUUUUGACGGUACCUUCAGAGGAAGCACCGGCUAACUCCGUGCCAGCAGCCGCGGUAAUACGGAGGGUGCGAGCGUUAUUCGGAAUCACUGGGCGUAAAGGGCGCGUAGGCGGCCUGGUAAGUCAGGGGUGAAAUCCCACGGCUCAACCGUGGAAUUGCCUUUGAAACUGCUGGGCUUGGAUCCUGGAGAGGGUGGCGGAAUUCCUGGUGUAGGAGUGAAAUCCGUAGAUAUCAGGAGGAACACCGGUGGCGAAGGCGGCCACCUGGACAGGUAUCGACGCUGAGGCGCGAAAGUGUGGGGAGCAAACAGGAUUAGAUACCCUGGUAGUCCACACCGUAAACGAUGGAUACUAGGUGUUGGGGGCAUGACCCUCAGUG
This 828-nucleotide ribosomal RNA is filed under the name uncultured Desulfocaldus sp. Its description in RNAcentral is "bacterial SSU rRNA". It matches the Rfam family "Bacterial small subunit ribosomal RNA", at positions 35 to 845 of the family's 1533-position model. Lineage: Bacteria; Deltaproteobacteria. The record is from RNAcentral.